ACCACUUGCCCAGAGACCUCGAGAAAAACCAGACGGGUGUUCCUCCAUCUUUAAAGCCAAAAAAAUGGCCGCUGGGUCUAAGCAGAUACAGCCUUCAUUCAUUCAUUCAUCUCUCAAGCAUCUUGCAUCGGGCAUGGGGCAUGGACAAGAAAUGUGACCCAGUCCCCGUUCUCAAGAAACUCGUCUAAAGCAGGGGGAAAGAGCAAUCAAUUAGCAAGUGACAAAAGCCACAUCUUUAUCCCAGCUCUGCAUCUUGGUUGGAUCUGGGAGGCGCCAAGGAAGCAAGCAAAGUGCAGUGCCAGUUCUACCACCCACCGUCAGAGGCUGCUGUACGGUAAAGAAGCAUGGGAGUCUGCCCCUGGGCUUCUCCUGGCGGUAUCAGAAACACGGCCACACUCCACUCCCGUCUUGGAUCCCAGACCCUUCAGCUCCCAAAAGAGACAUAUUUGCUCAUGGAUGUAUCCCCGGCACCUGGAACAAUGCCUCCCAUCUCGUACAUACUCAUUAAAGACUUGCAAUAAUUACUUCUUUAAUUAAUCGACCAACUCAUUAAUUAGUUAAUACACUUGCCUUGAAAUCUUUGAGGCCUUCAGCGGCCAUCAGCUCUGGGGAUUGACUUAUGUUUGCUGAUUUUUGGAGUUCUUGGAAAUUAACUAACUAACUACAAUCUGGGGUCUGUCCUUAGCCUGACACCACCCUCUUCUUUGAUACCCAGCUUCCCUCAGCAAGGACUGACUCGCCUUGACCAUCUCACCCAAUCUAACUUUCAAAUCUUCAAGGUCCAAAUGUACGUGACGCUUACCCAAGAGAGCCCCCAAGGCCGCAGCAAGAGUGUUUUCAUGUCACGCCACACUGUCACUUGACAAGAGAAAGACAGAGAUGAAAGGAUAUCUGAGACACGUGACCAGCCAUGACCUUGCUAGGGGGUAGUCACAUCCGAUGGGGGGAGGUGGGCAGUGACCUAAGAAGUUGGAGAAAAGAUGUUUCAUAAUGUUUCAGGGAGAGGCUUUGCCAGGACAAGGCAAAACAAAGAUGCAGGAGAAAAAGAAAGAUAAAAGACAGUACAGUAUUAUCAAUCCUGAAUAUUCACUGGAAGGACUGAUGCUGAAGCUGAAGCUCCAAUACUUCGGCCACCUGAUC
Molecule: long non-coding RNA, 1140 nt
Organism: Cervus elaphus (red deer)
Lineage: Eukaryota; Metazoa; Chordata; Mammalia; Artiodactyla; Cervidae
Exons: 3
Source: RefSeq, a predicted model, not a curated record